RNAcentral lists this ribosomal RNA (883 nucleotides) under Polygordius appendiculatus. Its description in RNAcentral is "partial 16S ribosomal RNA". It matches the Rfam family "Bacterial large subunit ribosomal RNA", at positions 803 to 2563 of the family's 2925-position model. The record is from RNAcentral. Lineage: Eukaryota; Metazoa; Annelida; Polychaeta; Polygordiidae.
GAAGAGAACUUUUUAGAGGCUACAUACCUACCGCGUUGUUAGAUAGCUAGUUUUCUGACAUCCUUAUACCAGUAAAAGAAAUAAUUAAUUAUUAUCCCAUUUAUUAAGGAAUAAGCCUUAAUAAUUAACCUCAUCCAUAAACAAGUUUCCCUUCACUAGUAGGAUUAAUAGUAUCCAUCAAUAUUAUAGAAUUAUAUCAAACCAACCCCCUAAAACCCAAUAUAUCCUUAAGGAUAGGGUAUAUAUCAGAAUGGCCCUUUAAACCAUAACUAGGACAUACAUAUGCUAGGAUAAGUAUUCAUAUUACACAUUACUCUAAUCAACUUUAAUAUUUCUCUUAAACCUACUCCUAAUUACAGAUAUAAAAGGAACUCGGCAAAACCAUGCCUCGACUGUUUACCAAAAACAUUGCCCUUAGAAUCAUACAUUAAGGGUUCGUCCUGCCCAGUGACUACGUGUUCAACGGCCGCGGUACCCUGACCGUGCAAAGGUAGCAUAAUCACUCGCCUUUUAAUUGGAGGCUAGCAUGAAUGGAUAAACGAGGGCAAAGCUGUCUCUUUCAUCCCCCUAAAAGUUAGUCUCCAGGUGAAGACACCUGGAUAAAAAUGAAAGACAAGAAGACCCUGUUGAGCUUUACCCUAAUUACCUUUAAUUUUUAAUAGUUUUAAAAUUAAUUCUUGCUACUUGGGUUCUGUUGGGGCGACAAAGGAAUAAACCAAUCUUCCUCUACCUUAUAGACUUCUAGUCCUAUCUAUGACCCUUCCCAGAUCAAAGAAAUCAGCUACCACAGGGAUAACAGGCUAAUUCUUCUUGAGAGCCCACAUUAACAGAAGAGUUUGGCACCUCGAUGUUGGCUUGGGGGAACCUAUAUGGUGCAGCAGCC